AUUCCCCUAGUAGCGGCGAGCGAAGCGGGAAGAGCUCAAAUUUAUAAUCUGGCACCUUCGGUGUCCGAGUUGUAAUCUCUAGAAGUGUUUUCCGCGUUGGACCGCACACAAGUCUGUUGGAAUACAGCGGCAUAGUGGUGAAACCCCCGUAUAUGGUGCGGACGCCCAGCGCUUUGUGAUACACUUUCAAUGAGUCGAGUUGUUUGGGAAUGCAGCUCAAAUUGGGUGGUAAAUUCCAUCUAAAGCUAAAUAUUGGCGAGAGACCGAUAGCGAACAAGUACCGUGAGGGAAAGAUGAAAAGCACUUUGGAAAGAGAGUUAACAGUACGUGAAAUUGUUGGAAGGGAAACGCUUGAAGUCAGACUUGCUUGCCGGAGCUUGCUUCGGUUUGCAGGCCAGCAUCAGUUUUCCGGGGUGGAUAAUGACGGUUUGAAGGUAGCAGUCUCGGCUGUGUUAUAGCUUUCCGUUGGAUACGCCCUGGGGGACUGAGGAACGCAGCGUGCUUUUUGCGAAAGACUCGUCUUUUUCACGCUUAGGAUGCUGGUGGAAUGGCUUUAAACGACCCGUCUUGAAACACGGACCAAGGAGUCUAACAUGCUCGCGAGUAUUUGGGUGUCAAACCCGGAUGCGCAAUGAAAGUGAAUGUAGGUGGGAACCGCAAGGUGCACCAUCGACCGAUCUGGAUUUUUUAAGAUGGAUUUGAGUAAGAGCGCGUAUGUGGGACCCGAAAGAUGGUGAACUAUGCCUGAAUAGGGCGAAGCCAGAGGAAACUCUGGUGGAGGCUCGUAGCGGUUCUGACGUGCAAAUCGAUCGUCAAAUUUGGGUAUAGGGGCGAAAGACUAAUCGAACCAUCUAGUAGCUGGUC
Molecule: ribosomal RNA, 864 nt
Filed under: Rhodotorula diobovata
Lineage: Eukaryota; Fungi; Basidiomycota; Microbotryomycetes; Sporidiobolales; Sporidiobolaceae
Description: partial large subunit ribosomal RNA
Rfam family: Eukaryotic large subunit ribosomal RNA
Source: RNAcentral